CCUACGGGAGGCAGCAGUGAGGAAUAUUGGACAAUGAACGCAAGUCUGAACCAGCCAUGCCGCGUGCAGGAAGACGGCUCUAUGAGUUGUAAACGGCUUUUGUACGAGGGUAAACGCAGAUACGCGUAUCUGUCUGAACGUAUCGUACGAAUAAGGAUCGGCUAACUCCGUCCCAGCAGCCGCGGUAAGACGGAGGAUUCAAGCGUUGUCCGGUUUGAUUGGGUUUAAAGGGUGCGUAGGCGGUCGGAUAAGUUAGAGAUGAAAUCCCGAGGCUUAACUUCGGAAUUGCCUCUGAUACUGUUCGGCUAGAGAGUAGUUGCGGUAGGCGGAAUGUAAGGUGUAGCGGUGAAAUGCUUAGAGAUCAUAAAGAACACCGAUUGCGAAGGCAGCUUACCAAGCUACUUCUGACGUUGAGGCACGAAAGCGUGGGGAGCAAACAGGAUUAGAUACCCGGGUAGUC
RNAcentral lists this ribosomal RNA (460 nucleotides) under uncultured bacterium. Its description in RNAcentral is "partial 16S ribosomal RNA". It matches the Rfam family "Bacterial small subunit ribosomal RNA", at positions 338 to 795 of the family's 1533-position model. The record is from RNAcentral.